UCGGGGUGUGGCUCAGCUUGGCUAGAGCGCCUGGUUUGGGACCAGGAGGUCGCAGGUUCAAAUCCUGUCACCCCGAU
RNAcentral lists this transfer RNA (77 nucleotides) under [Clostridium] scindens. RNAcentral describes it as "tRNA-Pro". It matches the Rfam family "tRNA". Rfam says of the family: Transfer RNA (tRNA) molecules are approximately 80 nucleotides in length. Their secondary structure includes four short double-helical elements and three loops (D, anti-codon, and T loops). Further hydrogen bonds mediate the characteristic L-shaped molecular structure. tRNAs have two regions of fundamental functional importance: the anti-codon, which is responsible for specific mRNA codon recognition, and the 3' end, to which the tRNAs corresponding amino acid is attached (by aminoacyl-tRNA synthetases). tRNAs cope with the degeneracy of the genetic code in two manners: having more than one tRNA (with a specific anti-codon) for a particular amino acid; and 'wobble' base-pairing, i.e. permitting non-standard base-pairing at the 3rd anti-codon position. RNAcentral also lists the same sequence under 7 other names. Lineage: Bacteria; Bacillati; Bacillota; Clostridia; Lachnospirales; Lachnospiraceae. The record is from RNAcentral.